This 505-nucleotide ribosomal RNA is filed under the name uncultured bacterium. RNAcentral describes it as "partial 16S ribosomal RNA". It matches the Rfam family "Bacterial small subunit ribosomal RNA", at positions 28 to 507 of the family's 1533-position model. The record is from RNAcentral.
GACGAACGCUGGCGGCGUGCCUAAUACAUGCAAGUAGAACGCACAGUUUAUACCGUAGCUUGCUACACCAUAAACUGUGAGUUGCGAACGGGUGAGUAACGCGUAGGUAACCUGCCUGGUAGCGGGGGAUAACUAUUGGAAACGAUAGCUAAUAACGCAUAAUAUUGAUUAUUGCAUGCUAAUUGCUUGAAAGAUGCUAUUGCAUCACUACCAGAUGGACCUGCGUUGUAUUAGCUAGUAGGUGAGGUAACGGCUCACCUAGGCGACGAUACAUAGCCGACCUGACAGGGUGAUCGGCCACACUGGGACUGAGACACGGCCCAGACUCCUACGGGAGGCAGCAGUAGGGAAUCUUCGGCAAUGGACGAAAGUCUGACCGAGCAACGCCGCGUGAGUGAAGAAGGUUUUCGGAUCGUAAAGCUCUGUUGUAAGAGAAGAACGGGUGUGAGAGUGGAAAGUUCACACUGUGACGGUAUCUUACCAGAAAGGGACGGCUAACUACGUG